This is a non-coding RNA of Cricetulus griseus (Chinese hamster), 2133 nucleotides long. The record is from RefSeq and is a predicted model, not a curated record. NCBI's taxonomy places the organism in Eukaryota, Metazoa, Chordata, Mammalia, Rodentia, Cricetidae.
GGGCACUUCCUACGGGUGAGGGGAGCAGCCACGCUUGAGGACUCACGUUUUAAUAAGAAGCCCAUUACGUUCAUCUCCUUACAGCCGCCAUUAAAGACCGAUAGAGAGAAACCAGUGGAUUGUGGACUUGACAGCAUGUUCAGCUUUCUGGCAGUUACAACCCUCUCACCCAAGAGAAGUGUUCGGAGGUUGACUUUGGACAACUAAGUAAAAGAGUGCACUGAAAGACUUAGAAAUCUUCAGAAGAAAAUCUUGAGGCUUCCCGGAGCAGAGCUGCAGGCCCUGGUAUGCUGAGGACUGGCUGCUACAAUCGACAUGGUCACCUCUUCUACAGUAGGAACUCAAAAGAGAAUUCCCAGUCCUGUGCUUAGGCCCAGGUUGGUACAAAUGCAUCUCUGAACCACAUGCCUUGCUUGAGCUCAGAGGAGAAUGAGGAAGUAAGAAUCUGUCUUUUUUUUUUCUUAAUCCCACUAUUCUAAAUAGAGGUGGCCACUCCCUCCUCCCCUCUAAUCAAGCCUCAAAAGUAGGGAAUUCCUUGAAUAUUGAAAGGUGUUGAGGCAACCAUACUUACCAACAGAUAUCCAGUUCAUCUAAUACUACCCACAACAAAGACACCGUUCACACAGAGCAUUGUGAAACUGAAGGCAAUACACUACAUCUCAUCAUUUUACACACUGAAAUAAAAAUUCAGAUACCAAGAGGUCCUUUCCCAGGGUUCUGGUUGCCUAUGCAGCGUUCUUCCCCUCUCUCUCUCAGUGUGUUUGAACUCCCUUACUAUGAGAAGUAGCUGGUGCCCAGGCUGCAUUAUGUAGAGCUGGGAUUUAUAAAAUGCUAAAGGAAGCCACUGGACUGGGCUUCCGGAAAGCUCCUUAAUGGUGCUCUUUUUAACCCACUCCUGUCCCAUUCCCCCUUUUCUCUGGCUUAGAACACAAUGGUGGUGGCUUUGAAUCAUGUGAUUCAUGUGACCCGAUAUUCAAAGCUAUUAUAGUUUGGAUCUGAAGUGUUUUCUGACGGUUCUGUGUUCCGCUGACAGGGCUUUUAGUACAUGAUUGGAUCACGAGGGCCCAGGCUUCAUCAGUGAUUUAGUCCACUCAGAUUCAUAAUUGUGUGGCGUGGAAAGGUGAUGCUGACUAAAAGGUGGGCCCUGCUUGGAGGGUGUCAGUCACUUGGGGCAUUACUCUGAAGGUAAAUCUUAUUCCCAGCCCAGGCUUCUAUUUCUGCUUCCUGGUAGGAAUAAUGUAAGCAGAUUUCCUGUGCUACUCCUCCCACCAAAAUGACUCAGCUUUGGCUAAAGACCACAGUCAUGGGCAGAAAUCCCUGAAAUGGUGAGCCCAAGUAGGUAUCUUUCCAUUACUUUUCUUGGAUAUUUUGUCACAACAACAAACCAAACACAGCAGUCAUUUCUCAAGAAGGGCAAAUCAACACUACAGACACCUGGCUACUCAGUGACCUAUCCUGCCAUUCUGAGCCCUGCACUGAUUUUUUAUGUGAUGGAAAUGACCUUCCUCUUCUUUGAGUCAUCAAACUCAUUGUGUCCUGGCAGCAGAAGGUAGUCCCGGCAUUUGCCCGAUGGUCUUGGUGACUUCAUAAGUGCUUAUCUCUUACGAAUCCAAGAUGUCAUCCUCAUCCUGUGCAUAGGAAAAUCCGAGGAAUGCACUUGAGGUCCCAGAACUGCUGGCCAUGGUGUCAGGGGUGCAGCCAAUGGACUUGGAUACCGCUUCCUGGGUGAACUCUGGGUCAAAGUGUUUCAAGUCAGCGGGUCCUUCCUGUUAGUAGAAGCCAAGGGAUGAGAAGGGGGUAUUGAAUAUGAGUCAACUAAGGAUCCCAGAGCUUGGGAGAGGGAUGUCAGACCUUCCUUUCUGAGUGCCUCCUGGUCCUUCAUAUUUAAAGUGACUGUCUCAUGUUCCACACCAAUCCUCAGACAAGCCACUAGUCAACGUAUACUUCCUAAGUGCUUACCACAUUCCAGUUAUUGCACCGGAAAUAUGGGAGGACAAAGCAGGGCAAGUCUCUACUUUCAAGGACCUAAUAUGAUGGAGGAGGAGGCAGGAGGAUCAUUUAGGAGUCUGAUAGGUCCUAGGUAAUAGAGACAAAAUAGGGGCUGCUCAGCUAUAUUGGAGAAAGAUAUGUUUG